UUUUUACGGGAGGCAGCAGUGGGGAAUCUUCCGCAAUGGGCGCAAGCCUGACGGAGCAACGCCGCGUGAGUGAAGAAGGUCUUCGGAUCGUAAAGCUCUGUUGAUGGGGACGAACGUGCUGGAGGUGAAUAAUCUCGAGUAAUGACGGUACCUAUCGAGGAAGCCACGGCUAACUACGUGCCAGCAGCCGCGGUAAUAAAA
Molecule: ribosomal RNA, 201 nt
Filed under: uncultured bacterium
Lineage: Bacteria
Description: partial 16S ribosomal RNA
Rfam family: Bacterial small subunit ribosomal RNA
Source: RNAcentral